This 750-nucleotide long non-coding RNA is filed under the name Homo sapiens (human). RNAcentral's name for it is "long intergenic non-protein coding RNA 472". The record is from RNAcentral. Lineage: Eukaryota; Metazoa; Chordata; Mammalia; Primates; Hominidae.
GAGGUGGGCAAGUUAGUUGCUCCAAAAACAAGAUAAAAUGAUUGAGUUCUUUUCUCAAGCGGGAGUCGGAGUUUAUCUGCUCUGAGAUGCCUCCCACAUUGCCUGUGACUUUACAGAAGCUUGGAGUCUAAAUUAUGUGGCUGCUAUUAGUAACAACUUUGAGACCGAAGGCUAUUGGGCUAUUGGCUCCACCAUGGGCACCACUAGCUUUAAACUCAAACAGACAGAUGAGACCACUUGAACCUUGGCAGUUACCAGUUCAGAGGAGCAGCCUAACCCAGCCACUCCACAGCUGCAAUUUGAGAGCAUCUAGAGGACACCACAUAAAUCUUUUCACCUGGUCCCUGCUACCACAGAUGAAACCUCCUCAAUGCCCCCAAGAAGCCAUCUUGGGCAGGAAAAAGAGAUGCUCCAGAUGGUUUUCUUACAGAGAAACUUCAUUUCAUGCUUGCAGUUGUUUAUUCCCAUGCAUCUAACUCUCGGCCAGGCACUGAAACAGAGCCCCAGCAGCUACUAUUAAUGAGUGUCUGGAAUAUGUUCCUGGCAUUUCACCUACCCUCUCUCCAAUCCUUCCAAGAAACUCACAAAGCAGGGCUUUUUCUUGAACUUCUCUUCCUCACAACAGUUAAAUCAUCCAUUUAAAGAUGUCAAACAACCUCCGUGUUCUAAGAUGCUGGACCCCUGAAUAUGGAGGGCCAACUACACUAGAAACACACACGCUAGCUGAGAAAGAUGGUGGCUUAAGGGUAA